UCACAAAAGGGAUGGGAUCUCAAUCCACAUCCGGGUUAUAUUCAAGAUCCCUCUCUGGAUCGUCUUCUUCUUCAAAAGUCUUUCUCCUCUUCAGGUUCCUCUUCCUUAGAUUCUCCUCAGGGUCCUGAAAUGGUUAUUCAAUAACCAAUGAGACCACGUCUCAGCGAGUCCUACCCACUAAGACCCGAUUAAUAAACUAAUACGCCAUACGGUUGCCUAAGCACAACACGAGUCAGAGGACUUACCUUGGCCUCAGUUCCAACCUGCAAUUCAAGGUUAAACACAAGUAUUCAAACAAUUCACGACAUUCGAUCAAGCAUUGAUCAAUCGACUAAGUCGAUUACAUGUCAGCCAGACCCUCUCUAGGUCAUUCCCACUCAUACCACGCUUUCUCAGUGGUGUACUCAUUCACCAAAUCACAUGUGUUUCUCGGGCGUCGUUUUCGCCAAUGACAUACCGAUCACCGACACCGUGCGUUCUUUAAGGCGCCGUUUUCACCAGUGAUAACCUUGAUCACCGAACCACGUGUCCUUUCAAGGGCGUCGUUUUCGCCAAGGUGACAUCGGCUAUAGACAACAUCGUGCGUUCUUUAAGGCGCCGUUUUCACCAGUGAUAUUCCCAUAAUCACCGAACCACGUGUGUCUAUAAGUCAUUUACGUGCGUUCUUUAAGGCGCCGUUUUCGCCAGUGAUACUUCCAAUCACCGAACCACGUAUGUCCAAUAAUAUCGUACCUGAUUGGUCUCACCAUUCUCCCUACUAUAUAGCCCAUCAACGUACUGGCGCUAUAUACCCAUGCUUGGCCAUUACCAAUCAAAUAUUCAAUAACAAACAAUUUAGGACAAUUCCUAAAAUUCCACAAUAAAUUCAAUUCCACACAACGUAGAGCUCAAUUAAAUAAACGGACUGCACCACGACAAUCGGCAUGAAAUUCCGGUCACCGGCCAUCCCGGUUGAAUUUCCGGAAAAAUAAUUAAUUAAAUAAAUAAAUUUCGAAAAUAAAUAAAUAAACAUUAAAAAUCCAAUUUAGGCCUAUAUUGCCUUAUUGGAGCCCGAAACGGGUCGGGAAAAAUCCCGAGAUGCAUUCAAUAAAUAACCAAACAUUUCUACUUGCUAAUAGCUAGGUCUAACCACCUAACAUGCAUCCUCAAGUCACUAAUUUAAUUGUUCUAACCUAAUCUAACCACCUAAGUGCAUGUAAUUAAAUCUAACCAACCCUAAGACAUAAUUAGCAAACUAAUAAAGCUUUAGUGAGUAAAACUCACUUGGCAAAAGCGGAGACCGAAUCACCGCAACGGCGACGCGACGGCGGCCGAAAUAGGACUUUCGACGACACCGGCGAACUUGGACCGGGCCUUAGGCUUGGCCCAACAAAUCUCAGCCCAACUGAGAUUUGUUCUUGCACUGCACUGGGCUCGCUCUUGGGCUUGGGCUUGCUGCGAUUGGGCCUCUUCGCGGGCUGGACUUGGGCUGAAGAUGGACUUGAAACAAACUGAACUGGGCCGGGCUUCAAGUGGCUUAGCUGCUGGGUGAUUGGGCCCAGCUAGACAAAAAUUCGCUGGGCUUGAAGACUGAAAAUUUGGGCCGAGAUUGCUGGCUUCGCUGGGCUUGAAAUGGCCCUCAAUUGGACCGAAUUUUGCUGGGCUGAAGGCUGAGCUUGCGACUGGCUUCGUGCAAGCUGGCGAUGAACGUCCGUGGGGAUGGGAAGCAGCUUUAAUCGCUGCUUAAUUUACGUGGACGAGUGGCUGAGCGGGCGAGUGGCAGAGAGCUGAGGGCGUGGGCGUGGCUUCGUGGAUGCUGAGUUCUCGGUGGGUUGUGGGCUCCGGGGAGUCAACAACGUUCUGCCGUGUUGACUGGUGUGCUGGCAGAGUGAAGGACGCUCGGUGGGUCUCGCUGAAUGAAGACCAGUUGAGGUGGCGAGCUGGCCUGCGAGUUGCUUCGUUCAGCGUCGCUUCGCUGGCUCAACUUGGCGGCAGCUUGGUCAACAAAUUGAAGAGAAGAAGGCUUGGAGUUGACUGGCGUGCGCUGGCCGCGUGGAUGCUUGGAGCAGCUUCGUGGACGAUCAAUCUUCAACGAAGCGGAAGAAAAAGAAUUUCGGUGGAGCUGCUGCAGGGGUCUUCGCUGGCGUGAGUGGCCGACCAGCUCGGUGGAAUCGAGGCUUCAAGAGGUCAACCAAGAACUUCACACGGUGGGGAAAUUGACCCAGAUCGUGGGUUGAUGAAGACACAAACACGGAGGAGGCUUUGCUGGGCUGGACUUUGACCGAAAGAAAAUGAAGCAGAAGCUGA
Molecule: long non-coding RNA, 2286 nt
Filed under: Eucalyptus grandis
Lineage: Eukaryota; Viridiplantae; Streptophyta; Magnoliopsida; Myrtales; Myrtaceae
Description: long non-coding RNA (EGRA_LNC001840)
Source: RNAcentral